RNAcentral lists this long non-coding RNA (398 nucleotides) under Homo sapiens (human). Its description in RNAcentral is "HSALNT0273076". Lineage: Eukaryota; Metazoa; Chordata; Mammalia; Primates; Hominidae. The record is from RNAcentral.
GGGAAGGCAGAGAGAGUAGUUCAUGGCCACAGGACUUGGCCACCUCUGGGCAACACAUAAUGCUUGCUAAGCUAAUGACUGUAGGGAUAUAGAACUGGCCCUCAGCCUCUCUGUCUUCCUUUGGCCUCUGCUCUUCCUGCUGCCUUCUCUCUUUGACCACGAUGACACACUUUCCAUAGGCCUUCCUCACCACAUCACAGAACUCAGAGAAGAGGCUGUCUUCUUGUUUGAUACACAGCUCGUCUCUUAGGAACACCCGAUAUUUCCAAGGCACCCAUCCUUGACUACCCGCAGCAUGCACAAUACACCAAGUUGGGGUUUGUAUGAAAUAUCCAUCACUAAUAUCUUCCCCAGUUACGAGACUUUCUGGGAUAUUGGUUUCCCCAAAAUAUACGGUC